UACGAAGGGGGCUAGCGUUGUUCGGAAUUACUGGGCGUAAAGCGCACGUAGGCGGAUACUUAAGUCAGGGGUGAAAUCCCGGGGCUCAACCCCGGAACUGCCUUUGAUACUGGGUAUCUCGAGUCCGAGAGAGGUGAGUGGAAUUCCGAGUGUAGAGGUGAAAUUCGUAGAUAUUCGCAAGAACACCAGUGGCGAAGGCGGCUCACUGGCCCGAUACUGACGCUGAGGUGCGAAAGCGUGGGGAUCAAACAGG
Molecule: ribosomal RNA, 253 nt
Filed under: uncultured bacterium
Lineage: Bacteria
Description: partial 16S ribosomal RNA
Rfam family: Bacterial small subunit ribosomal RNA
Source: RNAcentral